ACAGAGAACAGGGGCGAGAGAGAAACACAGAGAGAAACCGAGAGGGAGGGAGAGGGAGACGAGGAGGAAGGGAGAGGCAGAACAGGAGAGCUACAGAGGGAGAGAUUGGAAGAGCACGAGAGAGUUUUAAGCGAGUGAGAGGGAGAGAACCAGAUAGGGUGGGAGCUCGAGAGGGUGGUCGACUGUCGCCAGAGUCCAUUCGUCAAGCGCCAUCCUUGCAGUGCUUCCCCUGAACCAGGUAGGUCUUGUGCAUAGCUUCUUGAUUUGUGUCGAGUUGCGUCGCCUUACCGAGGAUCUCGCUUCGGGAACAUAGCGGGACGGCCAGUCAUCGCUCGAUUCAUUUAGAGUUCACCCUCCCGUCGCCACUGCCGAAGCUGAGUGGGGAUCUCUCAUUUUAAACGCCCGUUCCUGCGAAACCCCGCUGCUCCGCCCUUCUUUGGUAGGAUAGGACGUUGAGUUUGGUUCCUCCUGUUAGUUACACGCGUGCUGGGCUUCUGGGGGCUAAUGUGGUUAAUUUCGAAUGCCCAUUUGAUGAUUUUUUUUUUUUUUAAAUUUUGAUGCUGAGUCCAAGUACAAAAAGGGUUGAUAUUGUUCCUCCGUUCCAUGCCCACCACAUGUUCGACGAUAUGUCUAAGCCGGCCUAGGCGCGUGCAUUACCGAUUCCCAUGUGUUCAUGAACGCGGAUAAGUACGUUUUGCAUGUUAUGAACCUUUUGUUGUUUACAAGUUGUCAUUUGCAUCACCGGGCCAUGUCUGGGCACGUCUGCUGUGUUUUAUUUGUCUCCCAUUGAUUUCCUGGGUGUGGUGGUUGUAAGUGGUGCGCGGCUCAGAAGGGCCGGCAGUGAUGUCACGAAGUGAUGGUGGCGGCAAGCGACGAGCUCAGCCGCUGCUUUGUUUAUAGUGCUCGGCGUGAGAGAAUAGGUAGGGCGUUCGGAGAUGGAGGCAUCGGAAGGAGGGGCCAAUUUCGGGCGUGGGAAGAAACCAUCGAAGAAGAAGAAGAUGGGCAGGAAGAAGAAAUUAAAAAAAAAAAAUGUAAAAGCGGAAAAAGACAAAAGGGAAAAGAAGACGUUGGGAGAGGAAAAUUUAUGGGGAAGAAGGCCAAAAGGGAUGAAGUAAAAAAAGAAUUAAAAAAAGAAUAAAAAAGAAAAUUGCAGAAAAAAGUGAAACACAAAAGCUGGCUUCGGGAAAGAGAAACCGCAGAGAAGAGAUGUAGUAAAAAGACGAAAUAGGGAAAUAACAAAAAAAAAUUAAUUAAAAUAUUAAUAUUAAUAUAAAAACGAAAAAAAGGUUUUAAGAAAUCGGUUUUGUCUUCUUCUUCUUCUUUUUUUUUUUUUUUAUCUGGGUUUGUGUCAAGCCGACGGACCGGAUUGGGUUUACCGGUCUGGAUCCGUUUUUCUGAAUAUAAUAAUAUUAACUAUUAAAAAUAUAUUUAAAAGAACAUUAAAAAAUUCAAAAAAUAUUCAAAAAAUAUUGAAAAUUUGAGUAUUUUAAUUAAAAAAAUAGAAAAAUAAAAAAAAAUGAAAAAAUGUCAGGAAAUUCAAAUUUUCUUUUGAAAAGUUUUACAAAAGAUUUUAUGAGUUUUUUUUUUUCUUUUUCUAAAAAUAAAUGGAAGUUUCUUAACUCUUAAAGUUAUGCUAAAAAAUUGACUAAGCCUUUAGGGCUUUAUCUUAGGGUUUCUUAGGGACAAUUGUCCUUGAGUGCACAAUGUUGACAUGUGGAGUUUGGCUUCUCUUUAGUGUAGUUAGGAUUAGCAUUUGUCUUCUCUAUAGUAUUAAUUCUUUGCUUUCUCGUGCAAUUUAUUUAACGUUUUCCUUGGUCACUAAUUGUUAUUUUAAUGACCGCGCAUCCGCAUGAUUACCUUACAUGUUAGUGGAUAGAUGUAAAAUCAAUUCAAACUAUCUGACAAAAAUCUUUUCUUUUAAAAUAAACAAGAUUAGGUAUCGAAAGGGUAUUAAUUGGUCAAUUAGUGUAAUCAAGUCUCCGACCCUAAAUUCUCUAGUUGCGUAAGAAGUGAGGUAUACUCACAUGUCUCACUUGGUUUCUAACCGACCCCAGUAGGCUAGUUGCAACUCCUUUUGCAAAAUUCUUAAAAAAUACCCCAACGUCACGUGGGUAUGGGCUUGGGAGAGCCCGCGCCUAAUCAUAAGCCUUAGGUCCGUCCUUUAGGCAAUACCCCUAAACCUAUUCCCCCCCCCCCCCCCCAAAGGAUAGGUUGCAACAAUAUUCUAGCUUAGCCAAACUUCAUAGUUUUAUUUUAUGUGUUAUUGCGCGGGUAUAUUUAGCGAACUCGAGCAGCUUGCCAAGGUUUGCAUGUGGUAACGGUCAAGCAGAACAUGGAAACCUUUUAAAGCCAACAUUGCAUGGGGGGCGGGCACGAGAGAGAGGGAGAGAGAGAGAGAGAGAUUCUUAUGAAGAAUGAUAAUUUAUGACUCAAAACGUUCACGAUCAGUUACAAUAAGAACAAUUCUUUUAUUGGGAACCAAUUAUCAAUCUCAGCAAUCAUGUAUAACACAAAGAAGAAGAGGUUUUGGGCGCUAAAUCUAGCAUUGCAACACUGUCCGGAUCGAUGGCUUUUGUGUUUUUAGUGCCAUUUGAUCAACGCCUCAUGUUCUUGUUUCUGAAAGGCCGGGGUCGUUCUUGCUACUAGUUAAUUGGAGUAGUUUGCUCAAAAAUCUUGUUUGAAGUGUCCAUAAUUUUUGUUUUAUUUGGGUUCAAGUCUCGCUCCUUGUUAAGAAUUUUGCCAUGAUUUGAAACAGAAUGGUUCUACUAUACUGCCCCAAGGAUGGUGACAAGCUACGAUUGCAAAAGGAAGUUCCCAUUCGAGAGAAACAAUAGUUGAAGCAACUUCAAUAAAUAAAUAAAUAAAUAAUUCAAUGAUCACUUGAGAUGGCACAAUGGAAGUCGCAAGCUUUUCUUUUUUUACCUUAAAAAAAAAAUGGUGAAAUGUAAUCAAAGGGCUUGAGAACACUUUAGCUGAAGUGCUCGUCUAUGUCUUUUGACCGAGAGGAGGUUUCGUGUGCAAUUGUAUCUAGGGACUAGGAAGACUUCGUGCUCAUUUCCAAAUUUCUGCUUUGUUAUUCGCCAAUCACAC
RNAcentral lists this long non-coding RNA (3090 nucleotides) under Eucalyptus grandis. Its description in RNAcentral is "long non-coding RNA (EGRA_LNC005233)". The record is from RNAcentral. Lineage: Eukaryota; Viridiplantae; Streptophyta; Magnoliopsida; Myrtales; Myrtaceae.